This 874-nucleotide long non-coding RNA is filed under the name Apteryx rowi (Okarito brown kiwi). RNAcentral describes it as "lncRNA (ENSARWG00000013814.1)". Lineage: Eukaryota; Metazoa; Chordata; Aves; Apterygiformes; Apterygidae. The record is from RNAcentral.
CGCCCGCCGCCGCCGCGCCCGCCGCCGCCCCGCCAAUCCCAACCGCCAUCUUCCGCCGCGCUGCCGAGACUGCGGCGCGCGGGCAGGCGGGCGGGGGGCGGGGAGAGGCCGCACCGCCGGGAAGGGGCGGAAGAACCCGAGCGCCUUCGGCAAGGGUAGGGGGGUGAGCGCCCAUCCCCUCCCCGGACAGCCGCUUGGCCCGAGUGAGCAUGCGCAAGGUUGCCUGCUUGCUCUGCAAAAGAUGAGGUGCGACCAAAAUGUGAAAAGCAAUGUAAGAAACAAGAAAAAGCAGCAUUUAAGGCCAGCAUUUCCAUGGAUUUGUCCGUCAAUCCACAGUUCAACAAGGAUGGGAAAGAAAAUAUCACGCUACUUACUAAAUUUUGGUGGGAUCCUCCAGCUGCUCCUCAUCUUCCCAAGGCACAUCAGAGAUAAUGUGAAUUAGCAUUAAGUCAUGUCCAUGUCUUUUCAGUGUAAGAAAAACAUAUAUUCUGAGCAGGAGGAUCAAUUGUAAUACUUCAUGACAUAGAAACUGGGGAGUGAUACUGGGCAUCCAGAGUUAAUCCCUGAAGUCCUGCUGGUAGGGCACAGUGUUCCAUUGACCUUGUUUCUUCCACUGAAGGUGGGGAGAAGUGUCAUGAUGCCUGCCAAGAAUAUCCGUCUUGUCAGCAACCUCCGCAGCAAAUAUCUUGCUGUGCCUGACUGGUGCACGCUGUCACCAGCACGUCUAACUUCAUUUUGCGUCACAGGAGCCAGAGAAAAGGAGGAGGUGGCAGCAGUGAGAGGUGAGGUCUUAACCUGUUCCCCACCUCUGCCUCCAUACCCGAUCUGGAUAAGCGAGAGUAGAUUGCACUCUGGAAUUGAAGGUGAACAAUUA